RNAcentral lists this ribosomal RNA (855 nucleotides) under Paraburkholderia sp. Its description in RNAcentral is "bacterial SSU rRNA". It matches the Rfam family "Bacterial small subunit ribosomal RNA", at positions 22 to 876 of the family's 1533-position model. The record is from RNAcentral. Lineage: Bacteria; Pseudomonadati; Pseudomonadota; Betaproteobacteria; Burkholderiales; Burkholderiaceae.
CCCGCGAUGACGCUGGCGGCAUGCCUUACACAUGCAAGUCGAACGGCAGCACGGGGGCAACCCUGGUGGCGAGUGGCGAACGGGUGAGUAAUACAUCGGAACGUGUCCUGUAGUGGGGGAUAGCCCGGCGAAAGCCGGAUUAAUACCGCAUACGCUCUACGGAGGAAAGGGGGGGAUCUUAGGACCUCUCGCUACAGGGGCGGCCGAUGGCAGAUUAGCUAGUUGGUGGGGUAAAGGCCUACCAAGGCGACGAUCUGUAGCUGGUCUGAGAGGACGACCAGCCACACUGGGACUGAGACACGGCCCAGACUCCUACGGGAGGCAGCAGUGGGGAAUUUUGGACAAUGGGCGCAAGCCUGAUCCAGCAAUGCCGCGUGUGUGAAGAAGGCCUUCGGGUUGUAAAGCACUUUUGUCCGGAAAGAAAACACGCCUGUUAAUACCGGGUGUGGAUGACGGUACCGGAAGAAUAAGCACCGGCUAACUACGUGCCAGCAGCCGCGGUAAUACGUAGGGUGCAAGCGUUAAUCGGAAUUACUGGGCGUAAAGCGUGCGCAGGCGGUUCGCUAAGACAGAUGUGAAAUCCCCGGGCUUAACCUGGGAACUGCAUUUGUGACUGGCGGGCUAGAGUAUGGCAGAGGGGGGUAGAAUUCCACGUGUAGCAGUGAAAUGCGUAGAGAUGUGGAGGAAUACCGAUGGCGAAGGCAGCCCCCUGGGCCAAUACUGACGCUCAUGCACGAAAGCGUGGGGAGCAAACAGGAUUAGAUACCCUGGUAGUCCACGCCCUAAACGAUGUCAACUAGUUGUCGGGUCUUCAUUGACUUGGUAACGUAGCUAACGCGUGAAGUGACCGCCUGG